GCCGAGGUGGUGGAAUUGGUAGACACGCUACCUUGAGGUGGUAGUUUACGGGUUCAAGUCCCGUCCUCGGUACCA
RNAcentral lists this transfer RNA (75 nucleotides) under Escherichia coli. RNAcentral's name for it is "P-tRNA(Leu) from Escherichia coli (PDB 6HA8, chain x)". It matches the Rfam family "tRNA". Rfam says of the family: Transfer RNA (tRNA) molecules are approximately 80 nucleotides in length. Their secondary structure includes four short double-helical elements and three loops (D, anti-codon, and T loops). Lineage: Bacteria; Pseudomonadati; Pseudomonadota; Gammaproteobacteria; Enterobacterales; Enterobacteriaceae. The record is from RNAcentral.